UACGGAAGGCAGCAGUGGGGAAUAUUGCACAAUGGGCGAAAGCCUGAUGCAGCUAUGCCGCGUGUAUGAAGAAGGCCUUAGGGUUGUAAAGUACUUUCAUCGGGGAGGAAAAAACAAAACUAAUAAUUUUAUUUCUUGACGUUACCCGAAAAAGAAGCACCGGCUAACUCCGUGCCAGCAGCCGCGGUAAUACGGAGGGUGCUAGCGUUAAUCAGAAUUACUGGGCGUAAAGAGCGCGUAGGUGGUUUUUUUAAAGUCAGAUGUGAAAUCCCUGGGCUUAACCUAGGAACUGCAUUUUGAAACUGAAAUACUAGAGUAUCGUAGAGGGAGGUAGAAUUCUAGGUGUAGCGGUGAAAUGCGUAGAUAUCUGGAGGAAUACCUGUGGCGAAAGCGGCCUCCUAAACGAAUACUGACACUGAGGUGCGAAAGCGUGGGGAGCAAACAGGGAUUAGAUACCCGU
RNAcentral lists this ribosomal RNA (460 nucleotides) under uncultured bacterium. Its description in RNAcentral is "bacterial SSU rRNA". It matches the Rfam family "Bacterial small subunit ribosomal RNA", at positions 340 to 789 of the family's 1533-position model. The record is from RNAcentral.